UACGUAAGGGGCAAGCGUUGUCCGGAAUCAUUGGGCGUAAAGAGCGUGUAGGCGGCUCGAUAAGUCCGCUGUGAAAGUCCAGGGCUCAACCCUGGAAGGCCGGUGGAAACUGUCGGGCUAGAGUCCGGAAGAGGCGAGUGGAAUUCCCGGUGUAGCGGUGAAAUGCGCAGAUAUCGGGAGGAACACCAAUGGCGAAGGCAGCUCGCUGGGACGGUACUGACGCUGAGACGCGAAAGCGUGGGGAGCAAACAGG
Molecule: ribosomal RNA, 253 nt
Filed under: uncultured bacterium
Lineage: Bacteria
Description: partial 16S ribosomal RNA
Rfam family: Bacterial small subunit ribosomal RNA
Source: RNAcentral